Saccostrea cuccullata (small rock oyster) is the source of this 220-nucleotide long non-coding RNA. RefSeq lists it as uncharacterized. The record is from RefSeq and is a predicted model, not a curated record. NCBI's taxonomy places the organism in Eukaryota, Metazoa, Mollusca, Bivalvia, Ostreida, Ostreidae. The transcript is spliced from 3 exons.
GAUUUAUAAACAGUCAACCUUUACCUCUGUUGUCAUAAGCAAGGACGGAGCAGGGCCAGCUGGUAUUUUCUGUGUUUUACAUAACGCCCUACAACAGAUCAGCAUGGAUGGAGAGGUUGAUAUAUUUACCAUAGUACGGCAGUUAAAGGUCAGAAGACCAGAAGUUAUCACAAAGCUGGAGGAAUACAGACGGUGCUAUCAAGUGUUCCUUUAAUAUAUU